Long non-coding RNA from Antechinus flavipes (yellow-footed antechinus), 5989 nucleotides. RefSeq lists it as uncharacterized. The transcript has 2 exons. Lineage: Eukaryota; Metazoa; Chordata; Mammalia; Dasyuromorphia; Dasyuridae. The record is from RefSeq and is a predicted model, not a curated record.
UUUGAUUUAGAAAAGGAGAGUGCCUGUUUUACAAAAGAACAAAAGAACAAUUCUUUUCCCAAAUUAAACAGAAAUAAAUAUAUGGUAACUGAUGGAGCAGCUUACAUUGGGAAUUUUGAUUGGGUAGGAAAUGAUUUUACCCAGAAUGCUGGCACAGGCCUUGUUAUCAACCAAGCAGAUGUGGAAAACAGCACAAGCAUCAUCAGGCAACUUAAAGGGGUGUUUGAAAGGGACUGGUAUUCACCGUAUGCCAAAAAUUUACAACCAACUAAACAACCAAAUUGCUCCAGCCACAAACUUAACAAAUUGACAACAAACAAGACUGCUGUAGCAUACAAUACAAGUGAGAAUGACCCCUUGAGUGUACAACAUGAAUGAAGACACCUGACAGGAUGGACAGAUUAACAUUUCAUAUCUACUAAUAAAAAACUAGGGGAGAUGAGGAAGCCAAAAAAAGUUUUUUAAGGAAAAAGCACACAUCAAAAAUGUUCUCUAAACUGCAUACAAUAAUAUCUAUAUAACUAUAUUAUAGCUCUAUAUACUACGAUUUAAGACUUUUAUAUUUGUUACUUCUGACAAUGAAUGUUGUUUCUGCUUAGAGGUUAGUUUUCAAGUUUUACAUUUGAAUUUAAAGAUUUCACUUCUCUUCCUGUUUCCUUGCCUGAUUAUCACCACAAGAUCUGAGGAGAAAUGAAGGUGAGCUCUGUGAUGACUCUUCGAGAUCUGUUGACUUACACAGGAUGGGGGUAUUUCACCUUGGAAAGGAUACCAGUAGGAUCACAUAAAUCACUCUCUGUACCUGUUCUACCAUACCAACAUCCAAGCAUUAUUGGCUUAUGUUUAUAUACCAUCCUCCAAAAAAUAUACAAAACAAUACCAUUUGGUUUUCUCACUCAGUUCCUUCCAGUAGUGUAGGUUUUAUAUUCUCUUCACCCCUUAUAAAAUUUUCGUGUUCUAUAGAUAGAUUUCUUCUAAAUUCUAUUAUGUUCAUUCUCUACAACAUUAAUUUUGAGUGUGGUAUCUUUUGCAAAUGCCUUAUUCCUCUGAAUGACUGUACAAAGGAAAUGGAAGUCUUCAAUUUUCACUUUUCAACUGUGCUUUUUUUACUAAAUUGGUAUUUUUGAACUGCAACCUUCAAUACAUUGAAUAUUUUUGCAUGUUCCAAAAGUCAGGUGGAUUCCCAAUUUGGAAAAAAACCAAAACAAAACAAAACAAAACAAUUAAUCACUACUAGUUCCCAAUGUUAGGUAAAGCCAGAUUUGGUUUGAGACUGUUUGAGUUUGGACUGGGGAAGGGAGAAGGAGAUAUUUAUUGUACAUUUUUAAAGCAUCUGGUAUUAUGGAAGAAAGACCUUUGUGGAACAAUUAUUUUAGUUUGCUUAGAAUCAUUAAGAUGCUUUUGAGAAUAAGUCAGCAAAAGUUUGUAGCAUUUUUCCUCUCUAGUCAUUUAAGAUACCAAAUGCUUUUCAGAGAAAUGCAAUUUUAAAACUAUGCUUUCCAUAUUUUACUAAUCAGCAUAGGGAUGCUGAUUAGGCUUGUUGUUCUAUAAUCUCGUUGUGUGUCAUUUUAUAAAUAUACAAUAUAGACCCAUAAAUAUAUUAAUAGAGGCUGUUGUCACAUGAGAGAGGCAUGGUCUAGUCCAAGCACAUAGUUGGCAGCCAGGACAAAAGAGUCCCAGAUCUCCUCCUGACUCCUUCUAUAGCUAGAGACAAGAUACAUCACCCCUUUGCCUCCAGUUUCUAUUGGUAACGUAGGGACAGUAAUACCCACCUACCUCACAGAGAUGCUGUGAGGGUUAGGAACUAUUUACAGUGUUUUGAAAUCAAAAGAGCCUAUAUAAAUGCUAAGCAUUAUUACAUAUAAUCUUCUUUCUUGGGAUCACCUUGGUAAUAUCCUAAUAUAAUAAUUAUAAAGUUCUUCCUGAAGAACUCGUGGAGGAACAAACCAUGUCUUCAAAGCUGCAGAUUUGGAUGAAAAAUCUCAUGGAGACGUAAAAACCCUAACAGAAGUUUGAAUUAUCAAGAAUGCUGGGAAAGCAUUUGAGUAGAACAUUUUGGCAUGUCAUUUUGUCUCAAUGUGUAGUAAUAUCAACAUGGAACACUGUGCUAGUCAUCUUUGAAAACAAUAAACCAAUUUGUUUUCAGAAUAAGAGAAAGCAUUCUCACCAACCACAAUGCUUCUUUUUCAACUACUUGGUUCUUACCAUGCCAGAAGAAACAGAGAUGUAUAUACAUCCAUUUUAUCAGCUGGAUCCUGGUCCUAAAGAAUGACUGAUGAUUUGUCUCACUACUGUAAAACUUUCUGAUUGUUUUAAAAUAAUGUUUGGUUGGAUGUGUCAACCAGUUUGAAAAUGGUGCACGUGCUAGAAUUGUAUUUUUUCAAAGACUACUGUACUUUUAUGAAAGAAUUUGAUUUUUUUUUAAGGUCUGUGGGUUUUAAUGACAUUCUUUAUCAUUAAUGGCCAGUCUAUCCAGCUUGAAUAUUUAACACAGAUUCCAUUUAUUGUAGGGUGCUACAUGGAGAGCUUUGAUAUAAUGCAGGGAUCAAUAACCAUUCCAUUAAAGUCCAGUAAGGUUUGAUAAGUUAGCUUACAUAAAAAUACAAAGGGAAAAAAAAUCUAAGAGUACCCUUGAACUAAAUAGAGAGAGCCUGAGUUUAGAUCUGCAAAGGACAGUUCUAAAGGGAGAAGGGAGCAGCUGGUUCCACUGGGACAGCACUGUUUUAGUUCUAGAGAGAGAGGUGAGAAACACCACACAAGCUCUCUUGGAAUAGCUACAGUGAAGAGAUAUGGUUGAAGUAACAGAGGGGUGGAUGAGGGAGGAGAGGAGGGAGUACAGAUACCCUUUGCACAUGUGAAGAGAGAUAUUGUACUGGCUGGGAACUGCAACUUACCUCCCUACCCUGACCAGGUAGAAUCAUCACAUCCUAGAUUGUGUCCAGAAUCUACUUUUGCCCUUGUAACAAUAGCAAUAUUUCCACCCUAAUGGUCCCAUGAUAUAUAGUGCAGGGACUUUCUAAUCUGAACAUAUUUGGCAAUGGGAGGUUGGUGAAGAAGACAACAUUUACAUCAUUCAGCUUCUUAGAAGAUUGUGCCUGGGCAAUGAUAUGCAGAAAAUUACUAUGCAGAAAACAUUGUUUUCUGUAGUAUUUUCAUUUGCUUUUCUAUAUGGGAGGCAUGGGGCAUGGGUCCCACUACUUCUGUGCGAAAUGGCUUAUUAUUUCCUUUUUGGCUUUGAAGAUCCUACUUCCCAUCAGAAGAAGGCUAGAGGAGAUUGUUUUAUUCCCUAAGUGUAAUCUCAAAUUCUACAAGAAUCAUCAAGAAGGCACCUUUUUUUCCUAAUAAGAGUAGUUUGGUUGACUUCAGAGAUGAUUCUCCCAAGAAAAGCAAAAUGAAAGAUGGUUAUUAAUUGGGAAUAUAUGAAAGACUUGUGUGCUGCAAAUAUUGACUAGUGCCUUAUUCAUCCUCAAGCAUUGAGUUCAAAUAAUGAUUAAUUAUACAUAGGUAAUCAUUCAGUUCAAUUUGAUAUCACUUGUUGAGAAAAAAAGAAGAAAAAAAAGAUUGAGGGACUUUCUAUUUUAGCCUUGCAGAUAAAUACUCCAACGUUUACAAGCCCUCUAACUCUUUCAACCAGCCUAUCUUUCUUCUAAGUCAUACCCCUGUAUUAUACAAUCAAAUUCAAUGACCUGUUUUGUUUUUUUGUUGUUGAUGUUCCCAUUGUCAUGCCAUGCACUGCAAUUGGGCCUUGAAACAAGCAUUUAAAAGGUUAAUUUAAUCAUAAAUCAGUGGUUCAAAGACUCUGAUAGAAUAUGUAUACUCAUUUUCUGCUAUUGUUCAUGAAUCAUAGAAUCUUAAGGGUUAGUAAGGACUUCAAAAAAUCUAACCCCUAUUUGAAGCAUGAAUCCUCUCUUUGACAUCCUUGAUAAGUGGACACCUCCAGUGAAGUGGACCUUAGGACUCCAUGACUUGGUGUGGUGCUCAUCCCUGAAUGUGAUGAAAUAAAUACAUAUUAAAAAUUUCUACCAAGACACCUCUGUCUUUCAAGAAAAACAUACAAUGAUGUUUUGUGGAAUUCUGGGGUUCAGUGGGUCAUAGAAAAUACAUGUUAACAGACAUCAAAAGAGACUAAGAAUCUCUAAAUAUGCAACUUUGAGAACUAAGAAAAUACUCCCAGUUAUAUAACACUCCCCCAUCUUAAAGCUCAUGGAGCAUUUUCCAACAAGGCUGUAUUUAUAUGUAUCUCAUUUUCAUUUUGGUUUGGACUGAGAUAGGUUCAAACAUUUUGUUUGUUCUUACCCUUUUAACUUUUUUCUUAAAUGCAAUUACUGAGGGUUUUGUUGUUGGUUUUUUUUUUUUUUAAGUGCAUCACUGAGCCCUAGAAAUUGAAUGAUACUCUUUGCCUAUCACUUGUGGCUAUAGUUCAGUAAUUCAUUUGGGACAUCAGACUAUGAUCUGAUUGUUUUGCUCUAAGAAUACUUAGUAGAAUACAAGAUGCAGAAAACAUCAGAAUGCAAAAAUUGCUAAGCAGGGUCAAACCUACAGUAUAUCCUGCCCAAUAAUUCUGCAUUAGAAUUUACGUUUACAGGGUUAUCUGGUUUUUUUUUUUUUCAAUCUGUACAUGUGAUUUAAUCAAAGCUUGUGACGCCCCAGUAUGGAAACUCUUUCCAUUAGUGCAGUUCAGUAAAUCAUCUAUUACUUAGUCAUUGAAUCUUAGAGAAUAAAAUGGUGGGAAUGAGAGGUUAAAUGACAAUCCACAGUCACACAGACAGCAUGUCAGAAGUAGAAUUUGAAUCCAAAUGUACUAUAUCACACUCCCUCUCUUCCUAAAUUUGCCAGUCUGAAAUUCAUUCCAGUAUUUUUGAAGCUUCUGGAACGCUGUUUGAACUCUAAACCAGAACCAUCUUCCUCUGAAAAAUGAGAUGCUUGUUGUUGGUUGUUCAAACAUAAGUCCCCUAAAAAGAAUUUUGCGUAUUCUUAAUAAAUAUUUCACUCACUUUAUACCCUUUAUUCCUAAUGUCAGCCUUUUAGAGAAGAUGUACUUUAUCUUCAACCUUCUGGGAAGCAAAAUUAAUCUGACUUCCCUUUAACUAAAGACAGGCUAAAUACAUUUUUUCUAUUCUUUUCCCCCAUGCAAUAUAAUUUUGCUUCUUUUCCUAAAUAGGAACUAUUACUCUUUUCCUGCUCUAUUUUGAUAACCAAAUUGCUGUUUGCCACUUCUGGUUUAUUCAUUUAAAAUUGCUGAAAGGCUUAAAUAAACGUUGGACUCAGAUGGAGCUUGCAGCCUGGCAUUCCCAUUUGGGAAAAUUCAUAUCUUCAGCAGAAUUGCAAUCAUAGUUUUAUGUAAUAGCCAGCCAGCCAGUCUAUGUAGCAUAGUUUCUUGGACCCUUAAAAACUGUGUUUCCUUCACUUUAUGUGGACCAUGAACAAUACUGCAGGUCCAGAAUUCUUCAAGAUGAAUCCUGUUACAUAAGUAAUUUUAGAUACCUAUCUGAAAAAAAAGUAUGAGUUUUGAUAAGCUGGAUAAGUGUUUGCUUUUGCUAUGUUAACAACUUUCUAUUCUGUUAUAAAUAUCUUGAAUUUGUAAAUGCAUCUUUAUUAUACCGAUGAAAUAAAGUUGUAUCUCAGUCUAUGUAGGGACACAAAAGUAACCCUUGAAUUCAUAUACGAGUUGGUAAAAUAAAGGCUGGGGUUGGGAGAUAGUUAUAAAUCUUCUCAAUUCUUUCAUACAACUGAGCACUAAACUUUGUAGAAUAAAGUAUCAAAAUGAAGGCUUUUUCAUAUUGUAACAUGAGGCAUGUCUUCUUUUUCAUCAUAUCUUGGUCUCAGAAACCAGAUUAGAUGUCAAUUACCAUCUUAUCUCAUAAGUGACUGAAAAGAAUAAGGUCAAUGCUGAUCCAUUGGGAUUAUGGUCUCACUGUUUUGUAAAUUAGCCCAAGAAACUGUCUUUGUAAUAUUACUCUUAUCUCUAUAAAAAUAUUUGUUUUUAACAAUG